This 253-nucleotide ribosomal RNA is filed under the name uncultured bacterium. RNAcentral's name for it is "partial 16S ribosomal RNA". It matches the Rfam family "Bacterial small subunit ribosomal RNA", at positions 524 to 776 of the family's 1533-position model. The record is from RNAcentral.
UACGUAGGGCGCAAGCGUUGUCCGGAAUUAUUGGGCGUAAAGAGCUCGUAGGCGGCUUGUCACGUCGGGUGUGAAAGCCCGGGGCUUAACCCCGGGUCUGCAUUCGAUACGGGCUAGCUAGAGUGUGGUAGGGGAGAUCGGAAUUCCUGGUGUAGCGGUGAAAUGCGCAGAUAUCAGGAGGAACACCAGCGGCGAAGGCGGCGCUCUGGGCCGGUACUGACGCUGAGGAGCGAAAGCGUGGGUAGCAAACAGG